RNAcentral lists this long non-coding RNA (316 nucleotides) under Homo sapiens (human). RNAcentral's name for it is "non-protein coding lnc-DDX11-2:1". The record is from RNAcentral. Lineage: Eukaryota; Metazoa; Chordata; Mammalia; Primates; Hominidae.
AUGGCGGCUGCCAAGGUGGCUUUAACUGAGAGAGCAGAUCCAACUGAGCUUAUAACAAUAUUUUUGAAGUAUGCAAGCAUUGAGAAAAAUGGUGAAUUUUUCAUGUCUCCCAGUGACUUUAUCACUCCAUACUUGAACAUUUCUGGAGAAAGCCAGCCUAACCCAAAGACUGUGGAACUUUUAAGUGGGGUGGUGGGUCAGACCAAAGAUGGGGAAUGUGUGGCCUUUUGAUUGGUCCUGGGUGCCCCUGAUACUUUGUUUAUGGUAGCCUUUCAGCUAGCUGUUUGACAAAGCUGGCAAAGGAGAAGUAACUUUU